GAGCAGUAAGUGCCCGCUGCAGAGAUGAUAGGGAGGUUGCAAGCGUUAAUAGGGAGUACUAGGGGGAAAGCGUGUGCAUGCGGUUGUAUAAGAGAGAGGGGAGAACCCAGGGCGCAAGCAGGGAAAUGGAUUUGUGAGUGGAGGGCUAGAGUACGGCAGAGGGGGAUGGAAUGCCGCGGGUAGCAGUGAAAUGCGUAGAUAUGCGGAGUAACACCGAUGGCGAAGGCAAUCCCCUGGGCCUGUACUGACGCUCAUGCACGAAAGCGUGGGGAGCAAACAGGAUUAGAUACCCCAGUAGUC
Molecule: ribosomal RNA, 300 nt
Filed under: uncultured Chthonomonas sp.
Lineage: Bacteria; Bacillati; Armatimonadota; Chthonomonadia; Chthonomonadales; Chthonomonadaceae
Description: bacterial SSU rRNA
Rfam family: Bacterial small subunit ribosomal RNA
Source: RNAcentral